This 706-nucleotide ribosomal RNA is filed under the name Microsporidium sp. BLAT10. RNAcentral describes it as "SSU rRNA". It matches the Rfam family "Microsporidia small subunit ribosomal RNA", at positions 46 to 788 of the family's 1311-position model. The record is from RNAcentral. Lineage: Eukaryota; Fungi; Microsporidia.
AGCCAUGCAUGUUUAUGUAAUAAGGACGAAUAGCUCAGUAGAACUGCGAUUAUUUAAUCUGUUUGUAAGAUAACUACGUGAAAAUGUAGCUAAGAGAGAACAGAAUAAGACGUAGGACUAUCAGUUAGUUGGUAGUGUAAUGGACUACCAAGACUAUAACGGUUAACGGGGAAUUAGGGUUUUAUACCGGAGAGGGAGCCUGAGAGAUUGCUCCCACGUCCAAGGACGGCAGCAGGCGCGAAAAUUGCCCACUGUUGUAGGAGGCAGUUAUGAGACGUAAAGAUGAAUAUUUGGUAAAGAGAAAUAGGAGAAUUGGAGGGCAAGUUUGGUGCCAGCAGCCGCGGUAAUACCGACUCCAAGAGUGUGUAUGAGAGAUGCUGCAGUUAAAAAGUCCGUAGUCUUAUAAAUAUAAAUAGAGAUGUGAUGUCUCUGAUAGAUAUAAUAGAGAAACCAAUGGGGAACAUAGUAUACCAGGGCGAGAGAUGAAAUGUCAAGACCCCUGGUGGACUCAGCGAGGCGAAAGCGAUGUUCUUGUGGGUAUUUUAUGAUCAAGGACGAAGGGUGGAGGAUCGAAAGUGAUUAGAUACCGCAAUAGUUCCAGCAGUAAAAGAUGCCGACAUGUCGAUUGGCAACAGUGGACAGGGAGAAAUCUUAGAGUUCGGGCUCUGGGGAUAGUAUGCUCGCAAGAGUGAAAAUUAAAGAAAUU